Molecule: ribosomal RNA, 433 nt
Filed under: uncultured bacterium
Lineage: Bacteria
Description: partial 16S ribosomal RNA
Rfam family: Bacterial small subunit ribosomal RNA
Source: RNAcentral
AACGAACGCUGGCGGCAUGCCUAACACAUGCAAGUCGAACGAGACCUUCGGGUCUGGUGGCUCACGGGUGCGUCACGCGGGGGAACGUGCCCUUAGGUUCGGAAUAACUCCCCUUAGGGGGUGCUAAUGCCGGGUAAUGUCUGCUGACCCAACAUUUGUCGCCCUUGGGUGGGCCCGCGUUGGAUUAGCUAGUUGGUAGUGUAAAAGCCUACCAAGGAGACGAUCCAUAGCUGGGCUGAGAGGAUGAUCAGCCACACUGGGACUGAGGCACGGCCCAGAAUCCUACGGGAGGCAGCAGUAGCGAAUAUUGGACAAUGGGCGAGAGUGUGAUACAGCAACGCCGUGUGAGUGAUGAAGGUCUGAGGGUUGUAACGCUCUUUUACCCGCGAUGUUAAUGACAGUAACGGGAAAAUAAGCCCCGGCUAACUCCGUG